AUUGAACGCUGGCGGCAGGCCUAACACAUGCAAGUCGAACGAGUGGCGGACGGGUGAGUAAUGUCUGGGAAACUGCCUGAUGGAGGGGGAUAACUACUGGAAACGGUAGCUAAUCCCGCAUACCAUCAGAUGUGCCCAGAGGGGAUUAGCUUGUUGGUGGGGUAACGGCUCACCAAGGCGACGAUCCCUAGCUGGUCUGAGAGGAUGACCAGCGAAACUGGAACUGAGACACGGGCCAGACGCAUAGGGGAGGCAGCAGUGGGGAAUAUUGCAGAAGGGGCGCAAGCCUGAUGCAGCCAUGCCGCGUGUAGGAAGAAGGCCUGCGGGGUGUAAAGUACUUUCAGCGGGGAGGCGUUACCCGCAGAAGAAGCACCGGCUAACUCCGUGCCAGCCGCCGCGGUAAUAC
This 406-nucleotide ribosomal RNA is filed under the name uncultured bacterium. RNAcentral describes it as "partial 16S ribosomal RNA". It matches the Rfam family "Bacterial small subunit ribosomal RNA", at positions 29 to 526 of the family's 1533-position model. The record is from RNAcentral.